GCACGGCCCGGCCCCGCAGCGCCGCCGCACCGCCGCACGGAACGGACCGGCACCGGGCCUGCAGUUCAAGAUGUCUAAAAAAAUCCAUGGAGGCUCCGUUGUGGAGAUGCAAGGAGAUGAAAUGACGCGGGUCAUCUGGGAGCUGAUUAAAGAAAAGCUGAUUUUUCCUUAUGUAGAUCUGGAUUUGCACAGCUAUGACUUGGGCAUUGAGCAUCGUGAUGCUACAAAUGAUAAAGUAACUGUGGAAGCUGCUGAAGCCAUUAAGAAAUACAACGUUGGCAUAAAGUGUGCAACCAUCACUCCUGAUGAGAAGAGAGUGGAAGAGUUCAAGCUGAAACAGAUGUGGAAGUCUCCCAAUGGGACAAUUAGAAACAUCCUAGGUGGCACUGUCUUCAGAGAGGCUAUUAUCUGCAAGAACAUUCCCCGGCUGGUGUCCGGAUGGGUGAAACCCAUUGUCAUCGGCCGUCACGCUUAUGGGGAUCAAUACAGAGCAACCGAUUUUGUGGUACCUGGGCCUGGAAAAGUAGAGAUGACCUACACUCCUGCAGAUGGAGGCAAACCAGUCACAUAUCUGGUCCAUAACUUUGAAAGCUGUGGUGGUGUAGCCAUGGGAAUGUACAAUCUUGACCAGUCUAUCAAGGAUUUUGCCCACAGUUCCUUCCAGAUGGCUCUGUCGAAAGGCUGGCCCCUCUACAUGAGCACCAAAAACACCAUUCUGAAGAGAUAUGAUGGCCGCUUCAAAGACAUCUUCCAAGACAUCUAUGACAGAGAAUACAAGUCCAAGUUUGAAGCCAAAAAGAUCUGGUACGAGCACAGGCUCAUUGAUGACAUGGUUGCUCAGGCCCUGAAAUCUGAAGGAGGCUUUGUCUGGGCCUGCAAGAACUAUGAUGGGGAUGUGCAGUCUGACUCUGUUGCACAAGGCUAUGGCUCUCUGGGGAUGAUGACCAGCGUGCUGAUCUGCCCUGAUGGCAAGACUGUUGAAGCAGAAGCUGCUCACGGGACAGUCACUCGUCACUACCGCAUGCACCAGAAAGGCCAAGAAACCUCCACUAACCCCAUUGCCUCCAUCUUUGCAUGGACAAGAGGCCUCGCUCACAGAGCUAAGCUGGACAACAACACUAGCCUCAGGAACUUUGCAGUUGCCCUGGAAGAAGUCUGCAUUGAGACCAUUGAAUCUGGCUUCAUGACAAAGGACCUUGCUGCCUGCAUCAAAGGCUUGCCUAAUGUCACACGCUCUGAUUACCUGAACACCUUUGAGUUCAUGGACAAGCUUGCUGAAAACUUGAAGCGGAAGCUGGCCUCUAUGCCCAAAGCUUAAGGCAUGGGUUACACUCAAGCUCCCCUAACAAAGUGUCUCCCACUUACAUCAGAGUAGUUUCUAUGAGAAACAACAGCAGCUUGAGCCGGUGAAGCCAGGGGGCUGGGAGAUCGCAGCUGUUGCUGUGUGUUUUUCUUGCUGGAGCUGCUGUUGUCCUGUGCAGUACUACCCCAAGCUGCCUGAGUG
Pyrgilauda ruficollis (rufous-necked snowfinch) is the source of this 1504-nucleotide RNA transcript. It is a transcript of the gene named isocitrate dehydrogenase (NADP(+)) 1, with no coding region annotated. The transcript is spliced from 10 exons. The record is from RefSeq and is a predicted model, not a curated record. Lineage: Eukaryota; Metazoa; Chordata; Aves; Passeriformes; Passeridae.